UGAGGAAUAUUGGGCAAUGCCCGUAAGGGUGACCCAGCAACGCCGCGUGGAGGAUGAAUGCCGUAAGGUUGUAAACUCCUGUUAGAGGGGACGAAUGAUUCCGAUUGUAUCGGAAGUUGACUGUACCCUCAGAGAAAGCCCCGGCUAACUACGUGCCAGCAGCCGCGGUAAUACGUAGGGGGCAAGCGUUGUCCGGAUUUACUGGGUGUAAAGGGCGCGCAGGUGGGCUUGAUAGUUAGAGGUGAAAUCCUGUGGCUUAACUGCAGAACUGCCUUUAAUACUUCAAGUCUUGAGUGCGGAAGAGAGAGACGGAAUUCCAGGUGUAGUAGUGAAAUACGUAGAUAUCUGGAAGAACACCAGUUGCGAAGGCGGUCUCUUGGUCCGUAACUGACACUUAGGCGCGAAAGCGUGGGGAGCAAACAGG
This 424-nucleotide ribosomal RNA is filed under the name uncultured Ignavibacterium sp. Its description in RNAcentral is "bacterial SSU rRNA". It matches the Rfam family "Bacterial small subunit ribosomal RNA", at positions 355 to 776 of the family's 1533-position model. Lineage: Bacteria; Pseudomonadati; Ignavibacteriota; Ignavibacteria; Ignavibacteriales; Ignavibacteriaceae. The record is from RNAcentral.